Molecule: long non-coding RNA, 2502 nt
Organism: Folsomia candida
Lineage: Eukaryota; Metazoa; Arthropoda; Collembola; Entomobryomorpha; Isotomidae
Exons: 7
Source: RefSeq, a predicted model, not a curated record
CUUUUGUUUGUGUUUAGAAAACGAGGAAGAAGGUUUGCAUGAACUAGCUGUGACAAGCUUUCUGGCGACGAAAAUAAUUAUGUGCGUGAAGGCAAUUAUUGGCGUGAGGAGAAUAAUUGCGGGCGUGAGGGUAAUUAUUGUGGAGCAUGGUUAUUGAUUGGUUGUUCACCUGUCCACAAGACCAUUCCACUUGAAGCUGACAACCUUUACCAGAAUACUGAUGACUGCAAAGUUUGGAAGACUAACAACCAUUUACCAGAAGAAAUUUUCGGGAUGCAAAUAAUCAUUGGAGGUCAAUCGACGAAACCUCGUAGUCAGGACGAGGGGAAAGUGAUGCCUCUUAACUCCAUUACCUCGUCGCCAACAUACUGCCUCCAGCAAUGUGGAGGUCGUAUAGAUCACAUGAAUAAAAAAUAUAUACUAUUCGCGUAAAAAUUAUCAGCCUUUUCUUGCCAAUUUAGUUUGAUUUGCUUUGGAAACUUUGCCUCAAUUGUCGUGUUCCUGUCAAAGAAAUUUCCUGUGUCAUAAUUUUGCAAAAACUAUUCACAUAGGGUAUAAAGAGACGCAGUCAACUCUCUCAAGUAAAUCGAGCUGCUCCACUUGGUUGUGGUGACGGCAGUGGUGCGAAAAAACACCGGCACGACUCUCACUACUUUCUUUAUCACAACAACGUUCUGCUUCUCUCUCGCAGUCUCUCAGCUUGUUCAUCGUUUUAGAGAUUAAUUUUCACGCCGUGUCUUCAAAAUAUUUUUAAAACACUGGUAAGAAUGUUCAAAUGGGGUGCAUAGUGUCCCCCUCCUCUGGAACUGGUAACUAUAUACAACAAAACAAAGUUUAACAAUUUAUAUCAAAAAAACCCUCAAUUUAUUUUGUAUUGAUUAAUAAACGAGCCAGUGGACGACCUAAUCAUGUAUAUUUGUUUGUCCCGGUCUACCUCGCAACGGAGGAGCAAUUAAAACAGGGGAUUAUUUCUUUCACAACAAAUAUGGCCGAAAGAAAUGGUGAUCACAAAAUAUCCCGACUGAUCAAAAUCGUCCCCCCAAGGAUUUUCUUGAUAAAUCCUAUUUUCGGGACUUAGACGGCAUAACGUUUACACCCAAGAGGCAAGUUUUGACUAGGGUACAGGAGAAAGUUUACGAGCUUCACCAAGAAGAGCACAAUCCUAUGAGCCCCAAGGAGUUCAAAAAUCUUUCACUUAAACUGAAUCCAAAUCUUCCAGCAAAUCCUGUGGAAUUCGAACAGCAAGUCUUCAGUGAUGAUGACAUGUCUUUUUGCAAUGCCUUGUACGCCAAUGAUAUCCCCCAGACGUGUUUUAGCAAAAAAUCCCACCCUUGGAAUCUACGAAAUUUAAGAUCAAAUUUGGAGUUGUGUCACACCCAGUUCAAUAAUUCCCCAGUGGAAGAUGUCACAAGAUCUUUCGUAUAUUUUGGUUCACCAAAAUCCAAAUUUAUACUGCACAUUGAAAAUUCGAAUACCUACUCCAUAAAUUAUCUGCAAAGCGGAGCUGGAAAAGUGUGGUUUACCAUCCAUCCAGACGACACGGGAAAACUCUUGGACGCUUUGCGGGACCUGUACCCCGAUCAAAUGAAGAACUGCCCCACGUUCUACCGACACAAAACAAUAUUUUUUAGUCCAGCGUUAUUUUAGAAAUAUGGCAUUCGUUUUGGCAUAAGUGGUUCAAAAUGUGGGGGACUUUAUUAUAACCUUUCCCGGGGGUUGGCACUUGGGUUACAACCUGGGGAUAAAUUUAGCAGAGGCCCUCAACUUUGGAACGGAACGGUGGCUGCGAGAAGAUGGGCUGCAUGCGAAAUAUUGUCACCAAACAUGCCCUUACAGAAAACAAGAUUUUAUCAUAAACGUUCAAAAGUUGGGAGACGAUAUUGACCGGAAAAAGCGAGCAGAAAAACAAGAUGAUCCUGAAGUGCUCUUCAAGUUGAAAGAGGCUUCACCCCCACGUAAAAGUAGAACACUUGAAGAGAGACGUGAAGCACGCUGAAAUAUGGCAUGUUUGUUGUAAAGGUUCUGCCCAAAUCUUGAUAACGUAUGAUUCUCAGCCUUUUAAGGCAAACCCUGUUACAUCAAUGUUUUGUAACUAGUUUUAUAAUAAUUACAUCGCCCAAUACUAAUUCUUGUAGGUACAGUUAUUUACAUAAUUUGGAGUCGUUAUUUCGAAAAAUUUCGUAACAUUUACAGAUAGCUAACAUUUGGUGUAGACGUUGUGUACGACUCCACAAUAUGAAUCUAAGUCGGCUUAAGUCGUUGUAGUGUAUUUUUAUCCAUUUAACUCCCACAUUUGUGAACAAAAAUAAGUAACAAUUUAGUAAUAAAGUAGUGAAAUCAAAUCGCCAUUUGUUUGUAAACUCAACAAAACUAUGUACUACAUGUCUGGUUACGCAUAUAUCUUUCAUUAUUGUGCUGACAGAAUAAUAUUAACGUGGAUAUGAUUCAAGUUACAUGUACAAUUUAACAAUUAAUAAAGAAAACCUGUUUAUUAUUCGAAUG